GGCAGAUCAAGCCACUAUUCUGCUAGAGUUACUUGUGAUGGGGCUUGAAAGUACUAAUGGAGUAGAGAUAAAAUGCUUAGAUACCUUUUUUUAAAUGGCACUGGUAAAGGCGAAAGCAUCCCCUUAUGUGAUAACUGACGUUAAAGGACGAAGGCUUUGGGUCGUGAACAGGAUUAGAUACCCUGGUAGUCAAAGCAGAAAAUGAUGAGUGUCAUAGAUUGGUUUAAUCUAUAAAUGAAAGUGCAAGCACUCCACCUUAAGAGUAAUGUGGCAACACCGAAAUUGAAAUCAUUAGACCGUUUCUGAAACCAGUAGUGAAGUAUGUUGUUUAAUUUGAUGACCCGCAAAAAACCUUACCACAACUUGAAUAUUUAUAGAAGCGUUGCACGGCUGUCUUAAGUUAAUGUCGUGAGACUUUGGUUAGAUCCAUUAAAUUGACGUAAACCCUCGUUCUAUUUUUAUGUAAAACGGUUCACCGCWWGAUUG
Molecule: ribosomal RNA, 486 nt
Filed under: Mycobilimbia fissuriseda
Lineage: Eukaryota; Fungi; Ascomycota; Lecanoromycetes; Lecideales; Lecideaceae
Description: SSU rRNA
Rfam family: Bacterial small subunit ribosomal RNA
Source: RNAcentral